This is a long non-coding RNA of Hibiscus syriacus, 148 nucleotides long. RefSeq lists it as uncharacterized. The transcript is spliced from 4 exons. The record is from RefSeq and is a predicted model, not a curated record. Lineage: Eukaryota; Viridiplantae; Streptophyta; Magnoliopsida; Malvales; Malvaceae.
GAAUUGCUCUUCUUCUCCAAAGAUAACGAACUCAUUCGAGUGCAAAAACACAUCGGGCUCUUUCCGCUCACAAAGUUCCUUCUUUUUCCCAAACAGUAAUCGCUUAUGGCUACCUGUUUUGAUCAUUUUACUGCAAAUAAUCCUCCUC